This 451-nucleotide long non-coding RNA is filed under the name Zonotrichia albicollis (white-throated sparrow). RNAcentral's name for it is "lncRNA (ENSZALG00000008913.1)". Lineage: Eukaryota; Metazoa; Chordata; Aves; Passeriformes; Passerellidae. The record is from RNAcentral.
AGAAGUCCUUGUGCCCUUGAAUAAACAGUUUCUAUUUUAUGCAGGACCAGGCUUGGACUAUUAUGAAUGUUGCUGAACACUGUUAAUCAAGCUUACACAGCUAUUUUGAUGGCAAACAAUUAGAACUCUGAAGCAAUACCUUGCAAUUAGCUUCAGGGAUAUGGACCUCAGCACCGUAAUAAUGAAAGAGACCUUCUCCUUCAAGCAAGAGGAAUCUUACUUCCCUGCUGCGAUUUGGGCUGCACUGAAAAUCAUAAAGCACCAGCCAACUCUGAAUUCCCUUGAAGACUUGCUGUAUUUGCAUAAAAAACAAAAUCUUUUUGUUUAUAUUGUACCUCUACAUUUUUUUUUGCACAAGAGUUUACUGGAGCCUGAUCUCAUGUCAAAUUUCAAAGCACAAUGACUCUGAAGAAGGAAGGGAAGUGCAUUUUUCUUCACAUUCCUGAAAUGU